UACGUAGGGUACGAGCGUUGUCCGGAAUUAUUGGGCGUAAAGAGCUCGUAGGUGGUUGGUCACGUCUGCUGUGGAAACGCAACGCUUAACGUUGCGCGGGCAGUGGGUACGGGCUGACUAGAGUGCAGUAGGGGAGUCUGGAAUUCCUGGUGUAGCGGUGAAAUGCGCAGAUAUCAGGAGGAACACCGGUGGCGAAGGCGGGACUCUGGGCUGUGACUGACACUGAGGAGCGAAAGUGUGGGGAGCAAACAGGAUUAGAUACCCU
This 265-nucleotide ribosomal RNA is filed under the name uncultured prokaryote. Its description in RNAcentral is "partial 16S ribosomal RNA". It matches the Rfam family "Bacterial small subunit ribosomal RNA", at positions 524 to 788 of the family's 1533-position model. The record is from RNAcentral.